Myotis brandtii (Brandt's bat) is the source of this 120-nucleotide long non-coding RNA. RefSeq lists it as uncharacterized. Lineage: Eukaryota; Metazoa; Chordata; Mammalia; Chiroptera; Vespertilionidae. The record is from RefSeq and is a predicted model, not a curated record. The transcript has 3 exons.
CCCAGGCCAGCCAAGGUGGCGGGGAGUGGGGGGGCCAUUGCGGUGAGCCUUGAAGCCUAGGGCGCGAGCCCGGGUGGAGCCGCCGCAAGUGCAGAUCUUGGUGGUAGUAGCAAAAAAUUU